GAUGGUACUGAACAUGUAGUGGGUGAUGUUAGUAAUUCUACUCAGCAUAUCUCUUCCCUGGAAGCCCAAAUUGAAUCGGUCCCUAAUUUAGGGACUGAAGAUAUCGAUCAGAGGAAAACCAAACGAAGUAGGGAAGAAAUUCUAUCCGAUUCUUCUAAUUGCAAUGUAACCAAUACCCAUAAUAAUCCUAUUUAUCAAGCUGAGGAAAGUAUUGAUUAUGGUAAAAUUCCUAUAGAGAAUAUGAUGGAGUACAAAACCAGAAAUGGUGGGGGAAAUCGCUCGGAAGCAAUUGAUAGCUCCACAAUUGAUCUCUAGGGGACAAAUACACAGAGCCGCUAUGGGAAUCCUGCAAUUAUUCACCAGAAUCAUGCCAGUUGUAUGGUUGAGGGACAUGCUCUGGAUUAUUAACGGCUUCUUCUUCCAGCAUAUUUGACCAUUGUUCUUCUUGAGGUAAAACCGGUGUUUCGUCUUCCCCCGUUAUCCAGUCAAGCAUAUUUUCAUCCCUCGGUAGAGUAUGAACGUGGUGAACAUCAAUGUUAUGUCGCCUUGUUUUACCUUUAAUUUUUUGUUGCUCCAACUUCAAAUUGUAAUGGACAUACAUCAGAUCAUUUAUUCUCGAUGAGAGCAAACGAUUGCGUAGUUUGGUGUG
Long non-coding RNA from Papaver somniferum (opium poppy), 649 nucleotides. RefSeq lists it as uncharacterized. Lineage: Eukaryota; Viridiplantae; Streptophyta; Magnoliopsida; Ranunculales; Papaveraceae. The record is from RefSeq and is a predicted model, not a curated record. The transcript is spliced from 2 exons.